UGGGGAAUAUUGCACAAUGGGGGAAACCCUGAUGCAGCCAUGCCGCGUGUGUGAAGAAGGCCUUCGGGUUGUAAAGCACUUUCAGCGAGGAGGAAAGGUUGUUGGCUAAUACCCGGCAACUGUGACGUUACUCGCAGAAGAAGCACCGGCUAACUCCGUGC
This 161-nucleotide ribosomal RNA is filed under the name uncultured bacterium. RNAcentral describes it as "partial 16S ribosomal RNA". It matches the Rfam family "Bacterial small subunit ribosomal RNA", at positions 355 to 508 of the family's 1533-position model. The record is from RNAcentral.